Long non-coding RNA from Rosa rugosa (rugosa rose), 1041 nucleotides. RefSeq lists it as uncharacterized. NCBI's taxonomy places the organism in Eukaryota, Viridiplantae, Streptophyta, Magnoliopsida, Rosales, Rosaceae. The record is from RefSeq and is a predicted model, not a curated record. The transcript is spliced from 4 exons.
AAAUACUAAAGUUACUGUUCAUAUAGUAAGUUUCUAUAAAUAGCCGAGUUACUGUGGUAAGUUUCCAUUUUCGGAAACUUACCGAGCCCUCUCCCUUCUCUCUCCCCGACCCUCUCUUCCUCUCCGACCUCUUCACCUUCUUCCGGCCAUAACUCCUCCAUCCGGCGAUGGAUUUUGACGUAUAAGAUGUCGUUGGAAAGCUCUCUUCCUAUUCUUCAUUUCUGGAUUCGUUUCGUAGCUUAAUAUGAACUGUGGAAGGUGCAGCAACGAGAAGAAGAGGACGGUCACUGUAGCAGUUUUGAGUCAACGCCGAUAUUUUCCGAUUCCGGCAGUCUCCGGCCACCAAACUGGCAUCGAAGGGUUCUUGGGUUUUCAGGGCUUGUGUUCAACGGCCAAAUUGGAGCUAUUCCAGGGCAAUGCCGCGAGCUACGGUUAAAUGAAGGAACUCGUUUGCGUGGUCGCCCAAUAGUACUUUUGCAGGCGAAAUUAGUUGAGGUCGGGCGUACAUGGAGUCGAGGCAUAGCCAACAGCAUUGCUUCCGCGUACUCUUUCUAUUUCUGUUUUCUUUGUUACCUAGUGGAUUAGUAUUGCUCUGAUAACCUAUGGGAUUAAUAUUAUUUUUGGGUUGAGACUGAUAUUUGUGAAAUUGGAGUUGUGAUUUGGGGAGCAGAUGGCUCCAGAAGAUCCAAAAGAUUAAGGAUGGAUGAUUUAGAAGUGUAAAUGUUUUCCUACAGGUUUUGGGUAGCCUACUUUUAGGGGAAGUUCUGCCAAAUUUUUGGUAGAAUCUCUUCUAAAGUGGGCCCCGCAGGGCCACUUCGGAUUUCAGGGUGGAAUCUGGGGCGGGUCCUGUCAGUUUCACCCUUCGAGCUCUUUGGCUCCUGCAGAGGCCUCCCUUCCUUGUGGUGCUUAUUAGUUCAUCUCCCCAAGAUCGUGGCUAUCGUCUAUUCAAGUCGCUGGUUCUUGCACUAGCUCUCAUCAACAUGUCGAUCGGAAACUAGUAGUGCUGCAAGUGGUUAAAUUGACUAGGGUUAUAGUCUUUUA